CCUACGGGGUGCAGCAGUGGGGAAUAUUGGGCAAUGGGCGCAAGCCUGACCCAGCAACGCCGCGUGAAGGAAGAAGGCUUUCGGGUUGUAAACUUCUUUUAAGAGGGAAGAGCAGAAGACGGUACCUCUUGAAUAAGCCACGGCUAACUACGUGCCAGCAGCCGCGGUAAUACGUAGGUGGCAAGCGUUGUCCGGGUUUACUGGGUGAAAAGGGCUUGUAGGCGGGCUGACAAGUCAGGUGGGAAAUUCCGGGGCUCAACCCCGGACCUGCAGUUGAAACUGUUGGUCUUGAGUAUCGGAGAGGCAGGCGGAAUUCCUAGUGUAGCGGUGAAAUGCGUAGAUAUUAGGAGGAACACCAGUGGCGAAGGCGGCCUGCUGGACGACAACUGACGGUGAGGCGCGAAAGCGUGGGGAGCAAACAGGAUUAGAUACCCGAGUAGUC
RNAcentral lists this ribosomal RNA (442 nucleotides) under uncultured bacterium. Its description in RNAcentral is "partial 16S ribosomal RNA". It matches the Rfam family "Bacterial small subunit ribosomal RNA", at positions 338 to 795 of the family's 1533-position model. The record is from RNAcentral.